RNAcentral lists this ribosomal RNA (507 nucleotides) under Triticum aestivum (bread wheat). RNAcentral's name for it is "partial small subunit ribosomal RNA". Lineage: Eukaryota; Viridiplantae; Streptophyta; Magnoliopsida; Poales; Poaceae. The record is from RNAcentral.
AUGUCGCCAAUGAAGAAGAUAAUUGUUAUGACCGGCAUGCACAAGAUUUUCAACAAGUUUCAGAAAAUGGUUCACACCUAUGACCCUAGGUCUGAGGCUCUGGAAACCAUUCUUUCAAUCACGGAGACACACUCAAUUCCACAAUAUGCUUGUCCUAGUUCAAGAUUCGGUUUCAUUCAAGAGACCCUUGCUCCCGUGCAUAGAACAGAUGAAGCCUUGUCAUCUGACCUGACAAAGGUGACUAGAGAGAUCCUACUCCGCCUCCCAGCUAAAUCAGCCAUACAGUCCAAAUUUGUCUGCAAGCAGUGGUUCAGAUUGGUUGAGAGUGAAAACUUCAUUCGGUCAUACUUUCAGCAUAAGAACAUGGACAAAAGACCUAAGGUCAUGCUUGUGGUCAAGAGCAUUGGACAGUUGGGCUUCAGUUUCGCUCCAUUGAAUAAAUGCCUCCAAGAAGCUCCUAGUCACAAUACAUUGCUUGAUACGAAGGUGGUUUGCUCUAAGCCUUGA